This is a long non-coding RNA of Passer domesticus (house sparrow), 1254 nucleotides long. RefSeq lists it as uncharacterized. The record is from RefSeq and is a predicted model, not a curated record. The transcript has 4 exons. Lineage: Eukaryota; Metazoa; Chordata; Aves; Passeriformes; Passeridae.
CACAAAGGUUGGAUCCUGGAGGUCUUUUCCACCCCAAAUAAUCCUGUGACUCUUUCUGUAGCACUGUGGAGCUGCUCCUUCUGCCAUGCCAACCCCUGAGACACAGAAGGGACAGCCAGGAGCACCAGGCCCAGUAAAUUCUUAGCAGAUCUGACCUGUUCUCUGUAAGGAAACCACCCCUGUGGCUUGUGGAGCUGCUUCUUCCACUUCCCAUGUGAAGGACAGCAUUACAAUCACUCUGUCAUCUCCUCUUCAAAGAUGAAGAUGAAAGAGCCUGUUCCCAGCAGCUGGAAGAGAUGCUGGCUGCACAGCUGGUAAAACAGAUAGGUCUUUCUAACCCUUUCAUGCCUGUUCAGUGAGUCCAGGUAGGUUCAUAAAUAUGGUAAUGGUUCCCAGAGCAUGUCUGGACUGGAAAUAAGAGAUAACCACAGCAACAGCUCCACUGCAGGAGGGACUAAAUCCACACUCCAGGUCAAAUUAACAACCUCCCACUCCCCCCAUUAGCAUGAGGAAAGCUCUUGUGCUCACCUGUUUGCUGAUUACAGCCAUGGAGCUGUAAGGAGGCAGCUCUUGUUUAGCUUAUUAUCAGAAGGCCCAAGCUCCAGAGAGAACACAUUGAUUUAUACAAUGGGGAUCCUGCCUGGUACUUCAAUGCAGCUGUCCUGCUGAGAAAAUUACAGAUAAACUCUUCAUUUAUUGUCCCUUUAAGGGAGAGCGGAAGAAAAGGAGAAAGGCAAAAAAAUAAGCCCCAAACUCAACAACUCCUAAGUGUUCUAAGUAUUCACAGAAAGGUUGUUUUUUACCUGUCUGUUUCCAAAGGCAGAUCCCUGAAAAUGGAAUCCUGGGUCACUCCAUCAAGGGCUGGACACAAGGACCCCUUGUUAUGGUCUCUAGCAUGGCAGUGACCUGGAGUCAUUUCAGGUUACAGCAGCUGAGAUGAGGGAGGAAUAAAACCAAAAAACCAAUGAGGGAGUGGCAAGAGGAAGGAGAUGGAUCUCAGCUUCACCAGCCAUGCCUUCAACAAAUGUCUGAAAGCCAACCUUGCCUUAAAAAAUUAAUAUUGCCCAGACCCCAGAAGUAAAAAUCAAGCAGUACAUUCAAGCUGCCAGGAGUCUUCAUUGGGCAUGCUGAGUUCCUGGAUUUGGGCAAGACUGACAACAAAAACUGGGGAAAGGAGUCACUGAUUCCCUUGUAGCUCCUGGAAGCACAAAGCCUGUUAAGCAGGGAUGGAUUUAGAGGGUGAGGGACGCCACA